UACGGGGGGGGCAAGCGUUGUUCGGAAUUACUGGGCGUAAAGGGCUCGUAGGCGGUCAACUAAGUCGGAUGUGAAAUCCCCAGGCUUAACCUGGGAACUGCAUCCGAUACUGGAUGGCUUGAAUUCGGGAGAGGGAUGCAGAAUUCCAGGUGUAGCGGUGAAAUGCGUAGAUAUCUGGAGGAAUACCGGUGGCGAAGGCGGCAUCCUGGACCGAGAUUGACGCUGAUGAGCGAAAGCUAGGGGAGCAAACGGG
Molecule: ribosomal RNA, 253 nt
Filed under: uncultured bacterium
Lineage: Bacteria
Description: partial 16S ribosomal RNA
Rfam family: Bacterial small subunit ribosomal RNA
Source: RNAcentral